GUCCACCUUCAGGGCAGGACAAGUGAGCCUGGCAACGCCCCCGUCCCUGGUUGUGUCACCAGCCAACGAGGAGUUCCUGCCUCUGUGGGCGGCGGCGAUAAUGCUACGUACAUUAAUGCCGCUCCGGCGGUGGCCAGCCGUGCGCCUUGAGUUGCUCGAGUCCCCCCUGCCGUUCUCUUUGGUGGCGUCACGCGUGACGUCACGUCGCCGCCACAACAGGAUUCUCCUCCAUGGUGAGGCUCUGGGGGCCGGGCCCUCGGGUGUGUGGGUGCAGGCCGUGUGUGUACACGCAGGGGAGUGUGCCAGACGAGACCCCGGGGCUGCCAGGCCCUGCCACGGCCUGCUGGAGGCCCUGGUGCAGGCCGUGACGUCACGCCAGGGGAGGAGCCACGGCCGGGCAAGGGUGAGUCACGGCCUGGCCGCCCCGGUAGGUGCUGCCCUCUGUCCCCAAACACGCGGCGCCAGGUAGGGGCAGCAGCACGCCUGGAGAAGAAGAGGAGGAAGAAGAAGAGGAAGCCAGACCGCCACAGGCUGCCGCACGCCGCCAGCAGGGCGAUUUUGUCCUGCCUUCACGGGGCGGCGGGGCUGGCUGUGGGUCACGGGGCGGCGUGUGUUAGCUAGGCCAUUCUUCCAGACACAAGGAGGGCUGCUCACAGCGUGCGGGGGCGCGGGGUGCCCCGUCUGCUGCCUCCGCUGGGUCACGCGAUGUCGUGAGCCGAGGUUUACUUGCCCCGUACCCGUGAGUCCGUGGCUGCCUGGGUGCCUCGCGGGGCGGCCAGCUUUUGCUGUACGCGUAAUGUAGAGGCGGCAGCGUGUGUUGGGGGGCUGUGGCAAAGCCAUCUUUAUAUAAAAGCCUUAGCCUGGCCGCGAAAACCAUCGAUGACGUCACGCGUCGGGUCCGUUGGCUGGCCGGCGCGGGAGGGGGGGGGACAAGGAGCGUCAGUUGCAUUUCAAACAUUGUGGUGGUAUGAUGUACUCGCUCCAACACAGUGACACUCCAUGUACAAGUUAUUCUGGCCCUGGUCACACCGACCCAUAGUUCUUCCGCCCUUGGUGAUUCCGGCCUGCCUUGUAAAUAACUCUGACUCCCCAAGGUAGACUGAAUCUACUGCAAGGCAUCAUGGACCGGUUUCAUACAUAUGCAUCUCUGGUUGGCUGGCAUAAGCAUGAUCCUGUGAGCUAGUGUUACUCCUGGCAACUACUUUUGACUAGUUCUUCCUGUGAAACAGCUGUCUUUCAAAGAUGCCGAGGUCAUGCUGUGUGCCAGGAUGCAAGUCCAACUAUAAAUCUGCAGAUGCCUCUGCGUUCAGUUUCCCUAAAGAUGAACAGCGACGGCAGCAGUGGAUGAGGGCUAUCCACAGGAAAGACUUUACUCCAACAGAAAAUACAAUUGUUUGU
Long non-coding RNA from Eriocheir sinensis (Chinese mitten crab), 1398 nucleotides. RefSeq lists it as uncharacterized. Lineage: Eukaryota; Metazoa; Arthropoda; Malacostraca; Decapoda; Varunidae. The record is from RefSeq and is a predicted model, not a curated record. The transcript is spliced from 4 exons.